This 394-nucleotide ribosomal RNA is filed under the name Liposcelis bostrychophila. RNAcentral's name for it is "partial 12S ribosomal RNA". The record is from RNAcentral. Lineage: Eukaryota; Metazoa; Arthropoda; Insecta; Psocodea; Liposcelididae.
UUACUAUGUUACGACUUAUUCCUUUGGGGGGAAGUGACGGGCGGUAUGUACACUCCUUUUUACAAUAUUCAAGCUAUUUUAAUAAAAUAACCUUACUUUUAAAUUCAUUUAUUUUGUAUAUCAACAAAUUGAUUCAUCAAGAUUUUUGAUCCACAAACUUUCAAUACCAUAAUCUUCAUCUUUACCUGACUUAACAGCUUAAAACUGACAAAAUAAAAAUUUAUGCUUUUCUUUUCAGUCGGCGAUAUGGAGGAUGAGAGAACUAAGUGUAGUAAGAUUGGGGUGGAUUAUCCAUCAGGUCCAUGGAUCUCUAAUUUGAAAAGGGGCCGCCACAAACCAUAGUUAAUCUUUAGAAAAAAGUUAUAAGAAUAAUAGGGUAUCUAAUCCUAGUUUA